GGCAUCGCGACAUGACUCAGUAGAAACAUGGGAUGACCCUACACACAAUGUGAUUACUUGCCUGAGCAUGAACUUCAGACAGACAGACAUCAUUGGUAAACAGACAGAAGGUCGGUAUAGUUUGUUUUCAGAUAAGUUGUGUGUGUGUGUGUGUCUGUGUGUGUCUGUGUACAUGUGCGUCCAUGUGUCUGUUGAUGUGUGAUUACAGAGUAUAUAUUGAGAUAAGCUCUUCCUGUUCUUCAGUUUUUACAGCAAGUCACGUCGUCCAGACAGAAAAACAGAAAGAUGAAGGCUUACCUACUGCUCCUGCUGCUGCUGCCUCUCUGCUCAGGUACCAACACACACUCAUGCUGCUGUCACCAAGAGUUGGAGGAUUCAUUUAGACAGAGGUUUACCUUUAAAUUAGACUUAAGACUCCCUUUCCUUUAUAUAAAUCCAUAUUUUAAUCUUCAUCUGGCCUGCAGACCUCUGAUUUACCGUAGUAGUAGUUUGUUUAAACAUGUAAGAUCUUCAGUUUAUAUAAUGUUCAGUUAAUAUGACUGAAUACACAUUUAAAAGGUAAUCAAACUUGUGGUACAUUUUUGGCCCACCUUUGGGACAUGGUACAACAAAAAUUGCUUGAAACAAAGUUGAGGCUUACAUCAACUUCAAGAAUGUAAUUUAACUUGUUCUUGAGCACCAUUUAUCACCGAGUGUAACUAUAGCAGCACAGAAUUAAGGUUAGAGAACUAAUACGGCAUGAAUACAUAAAGGGGGAGUCAGUUAAAUGAUUGGUUUUCUUCGGUCCACUGACUGAAUGAGCCUCUGCAAACCAGCUGGACUCCCAAUUGAGGUUUUAUCUGCUACCGUGGGUUCAAAGUGAUGUCAUGUUAAGAAAGAUCUGUAAAUUUGUACAAAGCCAGUUCCAAACAGUUCAGAUGCUUUUUAAAUGUUGAUAAAAAAUUUAUUUUGAUUGUUUACAAGACAUUAUAACUUUUCAUUCAGGAAAAAAAGUUUUACAACAAAUAUCCUUAUUUUAUGAAAACUGCCACAACACAUUUCAGAAUAGAUGCACGGUUUAUAUAACUGUGAUGGAUCAAAUCUACUUUUAAGAAUACUCUCUAAAACUAAAAAAAAAAAAAAAAAAAAAGAAAGAAAAAAAAAAUCUAACCAGGUGUGUUUGCAUUGCAGCCAAAGAGCAUACCAUUAGGUGCUAUGGUCAGGACUUCCUUGUGGUCAACAACCUGCAGUUAACCUGCAACAGUCAGGUCAAACAAGCCUGCUACACCAGAGGUGAGUUCAUGGUGGACAUGUGGACAUGUUUCUAUUGUCCUGCAGCUGUAUCCCUCAGGUGUGUGUGUGUGUGUGUGUGUGUGUGUGUGUGUGUGUGUGUGUGUGUGUGUGUGUGUGUGUGUGUGUGUGUGUGUGUGUGUGUGUGUGUGUGUUUGUGUGUGAGGUAUUUUCUUUGAGUGUUUCCCUGACAAUUGUGAACCUCUGAAAGGUUUAUCUUUCAGGUCAGUCUGAACGGUAUGUACAUAGACUGUAUAUGGAAUGGGUGGGGCCUCCGCAAGAACAGCACCCUGUGGUGACGGGCUGCAGUAGAUGUCAUAAAUCCUGCCUCCUCAAGCAAUCCCUAUGGAGCUGUGGACAAACUUUAGAAAUUAAUUACACAGAACAUAAAUGUUUCUUCCCACUGGUUGCGAUUUUGACAUGUAGUUACUAUAAGACUGGUUUGUACUCAAGUCCUCUUUUUCUGUGAAGCUCUAUUUUUAAAAGUUAUUAUGGGGUUCAUGUUUUCCAUGAUUGACACUUGAUACAGCCUAUGAGUGUACAAAGACUGAGUAGCUCAUCUGGGGGAUAUGCUGUUUGAGCCAAGCGUCAUCACAGCGACUCUCCCACCAGAUGCGUACAAUGCUACUGUGCAAGUGGUGGUUUCAGGAAGUGGAGAGAAUCCUGGAAAUACAGAGAGCAACAGACAACAUCUUGGUACUAUUUAGUAGCUGCGCACGCCCCUUGUAAUAACCCCUGUAAAAACUGUUGUUCAGGACUGCUUACUUGAGCUUCCUACCCCUUCGGCUACUGUAAUAACCGUUGUUCGAGCCCACACGCAACAUUUUUGUUCUCAUUCAUGAAACGCUUAAAUCGGGGACAUAUUCGGGGACAGUGACCAAGGUGACCAGACGUCCCUGAUUUCCGGGGACAGUUCCCGAAUUGGAUGACCUGUCCCCGGAAAUCAGGGAUGUCUGGUCACCUUAGUCUAUGUGUAUGCACUUUGGUUGGGUCCUUCAUGUGCAUCCUCUUCAUGUCCUUUGUUAAAUUCAUCAGGGUCCAUUCAUAACAAAAGUUACCACAGGAGGUCACAAUUCAGAAAGACACAAGCUCACUACAGCUUUAAAAGUGUGGUACCAGGCUCAAGAGAAAGCUUCCUCAUCACAGGCAUGAGUAAAGGUUUAGUGUGUAGGAUGAAGAUAUUCAGAGACAUCUAGCUGUAAGAUUCUGAAUGGACACUUCAUUGUCGAUCUCUCCUGUUACUGAAGUAAAAGACACUGACACGCUAAGGAUGUAGUGGGUGAUGGUUGGUCAACUCUGAGUGUUGUAGUCAGUUCAAGGACAGCGAGAUGUGUCUCUGUCAGACUAAAGAAAUAAAUGAUGAAUUAUUGUCUAGAUGUUGUCUCCUCAUAGUUGACUCUGAUCAUUCUGAGGAAACAUCAGCAGGAUCUCUGACAGUAGCAGCUUGAACUGAGAUCAUUCAGCAUGUUUCUGUAAACCAUCUAAAAGAAAACUGACAACUUCAGCGUCGCUCUCCAAACAUUCAUUCAUCAUUAGGAUAGUCACCUAUGAAAGCACCUUUGUUAAUAAAAGACAGAGAGGUGGAGUUGAGGAGGGCUUUAAACCUCCUUGCUAACAUCUGCAGUGUGAUCUUUCAAACUCAAAAUCUUUCUUUCUGCAAAAUCAGUGAGUUAUUUAAAAAAGUAACCCCAACACAAUGUGUGCAGAUGGAAAAAAUGAGCUUUCCAGACCACAGUUGUUGUUUGAAGCAGGCUGUAAACAUGGCUGUUUUUACUUUAAAGAUCACCUUUAAAAAAAAAAAAAAAAAAAAAAAGACAAGUGUGUAUAGUUUCCUGUAUCCAGCUCCAAGUGGACACUCGAGAAACUGCAGUUUAUAGCACUUGCACCUUUAUUUCUCAAGCCGGAGGUUGCUGCUCAAUCAGAAAACACAAGCUGAGAUGGUAUAAAGCUGUCAGUUAGCAGUGCCCACCACUCAUUCUUUUGGCCAUUUGUGGAGCUGAAAUCUUUGACACUUUUGUGUUAUUUCCUUUGCUUUAAAUCCCGAUUCAAGAGUAAUUCAUGAGUAAAUUGAACAUUAAAUAUUUCUAAAAAUUAAUUCGAAUUUGACAGUUUCGAUGUUAAUUUACUUGUUGAUAAAAUCUGGACGUUGGACCCUAACAUCUUGACACUAAAUAUUUCUGAUUAAAUUUAAAAUCACUGUAAAAGAAAAAAUGUGUCUGUGGUCAGUUUUUUGAGGCUCUGAUACCCUGUUUCUUGUUUGUUGUUGCAGACAGUGGAGAAAAAGGCUGCACUACACUCGACCAAUGUACAAAACCUGGCUGGAACUGCUGCUACACGGACAACUGCAAUCAAUGAGCCAAUCACAGCCCAGGAAUCACUCAUGCUGUCAAACUAGAUCAUAGACAAUAAAGCUGUGAUGGAAAUUUCCAGAGUGCAGUUUUGUGUUUUCUUCAGUUCAGUGUACACAGAGUGUGUAAACUUAGUGGUUUUGUUCAUGGACUUUGAAUUGUGUGUAAACUCCAGUGAAGUCAGUACUAUCUCGAGCUUUUUAAACACAGUUUGGGGAUAAUAAACUGCUAUCUGAAAGUCAGUGACAGAAGUGGAGGUGCACCCACUUUCCUCGCUUCUUAUAUAAAAUGUAUCACGGUACAAGCACUCAUAUUAUCAAACAUACUUUUUGACUUGGGCACUUUAGGUACCAGAAGGAUCCCAUUUAUUUUAUGUGUGUGAGGUCAAUCCAAUGUUUUUUUUUUUGUUUUUUUUCAAUGGACAAAUCGAAAUGCAAACCAAAGUAAGAAGACAUUUCAGCAGAAAAUCAAAGUCAUUUGAAUCCAGGUUUAUAGUAUCAAAAAAUCCCACUACCUGUUGUGCAUUUUGCACAUUAUGAAGCCCAAAAUACCACAACGGCGAUCCUGGACUGUAGAGCAGCUAAAACGGUCCAUCAAGCAAGACUGUGAAAAAAUCCACCUCCAAAGCUCCAACAUUCAGUGCCCUCAGUUCACAAGGCUUACUGUGUGUUGUUAAAGGAAAGGUGAUGUAACACAGCAGGACAUGACCCUGAACCAACUUUUUAGGAGUGAGUUACAGCUUCAAACUCAAAAUAAGAUAAGAACUUUAUUGACCCCCAAAAGGAAAUUCAAUGAAUGAAUGUUUACGGAAAAACAAUCACAAUUUUUCAGUUUGAACAUUACAUCUCAUCUUUGUUCAGUAUUCAGAUUAAGUGGGAAAGGAUUUGGAAAACGUUGUGUUCCAUUUCCAUUCAUGCUCUACACAAUGUCCCAGCAUGACUGGAAUUAGGGUUUGUAGAAGUUCAUGGAUAUAUUUUAUGGUUUGAUUAAAUCAACUAUUGGCA
This 4621-nucleotide long non-coding RNA is filed under the name Xyrichtys novacula (pearly razorfish). The stretch from base 2148 to 2241 matches the Rfam family "mir-584 microRNA precursor family". Lineage: Eukaryota; Metazoa; Chordata; Actinopteri; Labriformes; Labridae. The record is from RNAcentral.